This 468-nucleotide ribosomal RNA is filed under the name uncultured bacterium. RNAcentral describes it as "partial 16S ribosomal RNA". It matches the Rfam family "Bacterial small subunit ribosomal RNA", at positions 28 to 507 of the family's 1533-position model. The record is from RNAcentral.
GACGAACGCUGGCGGCGUGCUUAACACAUGCAAGUCGAACGGAAAGGCCCUGCUUUUGUGGGGUGCUCGAGUGGCGAACGGGUGAGUAACACGUGAGUAACCUGCCCUUGACUUUGGGAUAACUUCAGGAAACUGGGGCUACUACCGGAUAGGAGCUCCUGCUGCAUGGUGGGGGUUGGAAAGUUUCGGCGGUAGGGGAUGGACUCGCGGCUUAUCAGCUUGUUGGUGGGGUAGUGGCUUACCAAGGAUUUGACGGGUAGCCGGCCUGAGAGGGUGACCGGCCACAUUGGGACUGAGAGAGGGCCCAGACUCGUAUGGUAGGCAGCAGUCGGGAAUAUGGCACAAUGGGAGGAAGCCUGAUGCAGCAACGCCGCGUGCGGGAUGACGGCCUUCGGGUUGUAAACAGCUUUCGCCUGUGACGAAGCGUGAGUGACGGUAAUGGGUAAAGAAGCACCGGCUAACUACGUG